RNAcentral lists this long non-coding RNA (5315 nucleotides) under Gossypium barbadense (sea-island cotton). Its description in RNAcentral is "long non-coding RNA (GBAR_LNC000828)". Lineage: Eukaryota; Viridiplantae; Streptophyta; Magnoliopsida; Malvales; Malvaceae. The record is from RNAcentral.
GUUGAAAAGUCAACAAAGGUAGGAAGCAACUUGUUAAAAAGGUUGAGCAAGUUGCACCGAAUGUUGAAAAGUUGAAUGGGAUAAUUGUAAUUUUGGUCCCUAAUUUUUUAGGCCAUUUGCAAGUUAGUCCCUGAACCUCAACUAUAAAUAGGCCUUUUCAUUUUUCAUUUCAACCAUCCCAACCAAUCUUUCUCUCUUAGUUUUCUCUCUUCUCCCAUUUGAGAAUUCUUAAGGAAUUCUAUUUGUUUGUAAUAUUUUGGAGAUAGUAAAGUUAUCAUCUGGUGUUAGUGCCCGAGGACGUAGGUAUAAUUUACCGAACCUCGUUAAAACUCUUGUGUUCUUUUUUGUCCUAUUUUUCUUUCAAUAUUUGAGGGUAUAAUAGUAGUAUUUAAUUGUGCUAUUAAAUUACUAUAGAAGGGAUAUUCUGACUAAGGAAAGACUUGGUAUUUAAGAGAUCAUUGUGAUCCACCUCUCUUCCCUGGGAAUUGAACUUUGUGUGAUUUUUUAGUACAAUAAUUUACACGCUUCCGACCCUAUUGGAACAACAAGUGGUAUCAAGAGCCGAAGGUUAAUUGUAGUAUGCUCUGUGGUUGCAGUUUAAACUGAUCUUCCACAUCAGAAAAGAUUUCCUUAGGUAUAUUGAAAGAUUAUGGAGAAAACGGUCGGUGUAGGAGCUUCAACAUCGUCCAUGUGGACAAGACCGACAAUUGCAAAUGCAAGAUUGGCCGUGGAGAUCUUUGAUGGCACGGGCCAUUUUGGUAUGUGGCAAAGUGAGGUUCUAGAUGCCCUUUUUCAGCAGGGUCUAGACAUUGCCAUUGAUGAAGAGAAACCAGAUGAUGUACAGGAGAAAGAUUGGAAGGCGAUCAAUCGGUUGGCAUGUGGCACAAUUCGAUCAUGCCUUUCUCGAGAGCAGAGGUAUGCUUUUUCAAAGGAGACUUCUGCAAAUAAGUUGUGGGUGGCACUUGAAGAAAUUUUUUUGAAGAAAAACAGUCAAAAUAAGCUCCACUUGAAGAAAAGACUGUUUCGCUUCACAUACGUCCCAAGUACCACAAUGAAUGAUCACAUCACCAAAUUUAAUCAGUUAGUCACUGAUUUGCUGAAUAUGGAUGAGACAUUCAAAGAUGAAGAUUUGGCUUUGAUGCUGUUGGGGUCACUUCCUGAGGAGUUUGAGUUCCUAGAAACUACUCUACUUCAUGGCAGGAGUGAUAUAUCUCUGAGCGAAGUCUGUGCGGCCUUAUACAGUUAUGAACAGAGAAAGAAGGACAAACAGAAAAACUCAAUCAAAGAUACAGAAGCUUUAGUAGUCCGAGGUCGUUCAUACACUCGGAAGAAAACUCAAAAGGGGAGAUCAAAGUCAAAGUCCAGACUCGGGAAAGAUGAAUGUGCUUUUUGUCAUGAGAAAGGCCACUGGAAGAAAAAUUGUCCAAAGCUGAAGAAUAAGGGAAAAGCUGCUGUAGAUGCUUGUGUUGCUAAGCAUGAUACUAGUGACUCUGAACUAUCACUGGUUGCAUCAUCAUCGUCGUUCCAUUCAGAUGAGUGGAUAUUGGAUUCGGGUUGUACCUAUCAUAUGUCCCCUAACCGGGAGUGGUUCUCUGAUUUAGUAGAACUAAAUGGAGGAGUUGUUUAUAUGGGCAAUGACAAUGCCUGUAAAACUGUUGGGAUAGGUUCAAUCCAAUUAAAGAAUCAAGAUGGAUCAACCAGAGUUCUGACUGAUGUUCGGUACGUGCCCAGUUUGAAGAAAAAUCUCAUCUCAUUGGGAGCCUUGGAAUCCAAUGGUUCAGUUGUUACUAUGAGAGAUGGGAUUUUGAAAGUGACAUCUAGCGCACUUGUAAUAUUGAAGGGCAUCAGGAAAAAUAACUUGUAUUACUACCAAGGUAGUACAGUUAUUGGAGCAGUCGCUACAGCUUCCGGUAACAAAGACUUGGACUCAAUGCAGUUGUGGCAUAUGAAGUUGGGACAUGCCAGCGAAAAAUCCUUGCAAAUUCUGGCAAAGCAAGGAUUGUUGAAAGGUGCAAAGGCUUGCAAAUUAAAAUUUUGUGAGCACUGUGUUCUGGGAAAGCAAAAGAGAGUGAAAUUCGGCACUGCUAUCCAUAAUAUAAAAGGUAUUUUGGAAUACAUUCACUCAGAUGUGUGGGGGCCUUCUAAAACACCUUCGUUGGGAGGAAAACACUACUUUGUUACUUUUGUUGAUGACUUUUCCAGAAGAGUUUGGGUGUAUACCAUGAAAACUAAAGAUGAAGUGCUUGGAGUUUUUCUUAAAUGGAAAACUAUGAUCGAAAACCAGACUGGCAAGAAAAUCAAGCGGCUUAGGACGGACAAUGGAGGGGAAUAUAAAAGUGAUCCGUUCUUCGAUGUGUGCCAAGAGUAUGGUAUUGUUCGACACUUCACAGUUAGGGAUACACCACAACAGAAUGGAGUGGCAGAGCGUAUGAAUCGAACAUUGCUGGAGAAAGUUCGAUGUAUGUUGUCCAAUGCUGGGUUGGGCAAGCAAUUUUAGGCUGAGGCUGUGACAUACGCUGGCCAUCUUGUUAAUUGUUUGCCAUCAUCUGCAUUAGAAAGAAAAACUCCUAUGGAGGUAUGGUCUGGAAAACCGGCUACAGAUUAUGAUUCCUUACAUGUGUUUGGAUCCACUGCAUAUUACCAUGUGAAGGAGUCAAAGUUAGAUCCGAGGGCAAAGAAAGCUCUCUUUAUGGGAAUCACUUCUGGAGUGAAGGGAUUUCGUCUUUGGUGCUUAAGCACAAAGAAAAUGAUCUGUAGCAGAGAUGUUACCUUUGAUGAAUCUGCCACAUUGAAAAAGGUAGCAGAUAAAGAUAUUCAGACGAGCAAUACUCCACAGCAGGUGGAGUGUACUCCAAAACAGGUGGAGUUUGAGCAGAUGGGGAUUUGCCCAGUUAAUAAGUCUAAUUCUCCAGCCACAAUGGAGGAAUUAGAGGUUGAAGAGGUUCUGACCCAAGAACCACUAAGUACACCAGAACCAGUUGCAGUUGCAAGGCCACGGAGAGAAAUUCGUAAACCUGCUCGAUUUACUGAAUGGUGGCCUACGCCCUUCCCGUUGUUGAUGAUAUUCCUAUCACUUAUCAAGAAGCAAUGCAAAGCUUAGAAAGUGAUAAAUGGAAAAGCGCCUUGGAUGAAGAAAUGCAGUCUCUCCGGAAGAACAAUACUUGGGAGUUGACGCAAUUACCGAAAGAUAAAAGGGCAAUCGGAUGCAAGUGGGUAUUCGCAAAGAAAGAUGGAUCUCCUAGCAAGAAGGAUAUUCGCUACAAGGCAAGAUUGGUAGCUAAAGGCUACGCUCAGAAGGAGGGAAUUGACUACAAUGAUGUAUUUUCCCCUGUUGUGAAGCAUUCCUCCAUUAGAAUUUUGUUGGCCUUGGUAGCACAGUUGAAUUUGGAGCUAGCUCAACUUGAUGUUAAGACGGCUUUCUUGCAUGGUGAGUUAGAAGAGGAGAUCUAUAUGACUCAGCCAGAAGGAUACACAGAUGCUGGUGGUAGAAAUUGGGUUUGUAAGCUUAACAAAUCGCUAUAUGGAUUGAAGCAAUCCCCGAGGCUGUGGUACAAGCGAUUUGAUAGCUUUAUGAGAAGGCAGAAGUACACAAGAAGCAAAUAUAACAAUUGUGUGUAUUUGCAGAAGCUGCAUGACGGAUCUUUCAUUUAUCUACUCUUGUAUGUUGAUGAUAUGUUAAUCGCUUCGAAGAGCCAAAAUGAGAUAGAUAAGCUGAAGGCUCAGUUGAAUCAAGAGUUCAAGAUGAAAGAUCUAGGUGAGGCCAAGAAGAUUCUCGGCAUGGAGAUAAGUAGAGAUAGACAGAGAGGCAAGCUUUGUUUGAAUCAGAAGCAAUAUCUGAAAAAGGUAUUACAAUGUUUUGGUGUAAAUGAAAACACAAAACAUGUAAGUACCCCACUUGCUUCUCAUUUGAAACUUAGUGCUCAAUUAUCUCCGAAAACUGAAGAAGAAAGAGAAUAUAUGGCAAAAGUCCCAUAUGCUAAUGCAGUUGGGAGUUUGAUGUAUGCGAUGGUGUGUACGAGGCCUGACAUUUCACAAGCUGUUGGAGUUGUGAGCAGGUAUAUGCAUGAUCCUGGAAAAGGACAUUGGCAAGCUGUGAAAUGGAUUCUACGGUAUCUUCGAAAAACCGUAGAUGUUGGUUUAAUUUUUGAACAGGAUGAAGCACUUGGUCAGUUUGUAGUUGGAUAUGUUGAUUCCGACUUUGCUGGUGAUUUAGAUAAACGUCGUUCAACUACGGGGUAUCUGUUUACUCUUGCGAAAGCCCCAGUGAGUUGGAAGUCUACCUUACAGUCUACAGUAGCUGUGUCUACUACAGAGGCAGAAUAUAUGGCAGUUACAGAAGCUGUUAAGGAGGCUAUUUGGCUUAAUGGAUUAUUGAAAGACUUGGGAGUUGUUCAAAGUCACAUUAGUCUAUAUUGUGACAGUCAGAGUGCUAUUCAUUUAGCGAAAAAUCAAGUCUAUCAUUCAAGAACCAAGCAUAUCGACGUAAGAUAUCACUUUGUGCGGGAAGUCUUUGAAAAAGGAAAAAUUCUACUUCAGAAGAUUCCGACAGCAGAUAAUCCCGCAGAUAUGAUGACCAAGGUGGUAACAACAAUCAAGUUUAAUCAUUGUUUGAACUUGAUUAACAUCCUGAGAAUUUGAGCACCUUUAGGUGUAUGGCGCUCGAGAGCGCAUUUGGAGGCACUACAAAAGAUAGCUUUAUCGAAUUUGGGGAGUUGAAGGAAGUAUGUGAAGAUGUGAUUAUCCUAAUCAAAUCUUCAAGGUGGAGAUUGUUGAAAAGUCAACAAAGGUAGGAAGCAACUUGUUAAAAAGGUUGAGCAAGUUGCACCGAAUGUUGAAAAGUUGAAUGGGAUAAUUGCAAUUUUGGUCCCUAAUUUUUUAGGCCAUUUGCAAGUUAGUCCCUGAACCUCAACUAUAAAUAGGCCUUUUCAUUUUUCAUUUCAACCAUCCCAACCAAUCUUUCUCUCUUAGUUUUCUCUCUUCUCCCAUUUGAGAAUUCUUAAGGAAUUCUAUUUGUUUGUAAUAUUUUGGAGAUAGUAAAGUUAUCAUCUGGUGUUAGUGCCCGAGGACGUAGGUAUAAUUUACCGAACCUCGUUAAAACUCUUGUGUUCUUUUUUUUCCUAUUUUUCUUUCAAUAUUUGAGGGUAUAAUAGUAGUAUUUAAUUGUGCUAUUAAAUUACUAUAGAAGGGAUAUUCUGACUAAGGAAAGACUUGGUAUUUAAGAGAUCAUUGUGAUCCACCUCUCUUCCCUGGGAAUUGAACUUUGUGUGAUUUUUUAGUACAAUAAUUUACACGCUUCCGACCCUAUUGGAACAACA